AGGUAUAUGAUCAAACUUCCAUUAGAUAUUAUUUAUCACUUUCAGGAAAGAAAUUACCCAUCAAUAUAUGAAAUGGUAUACUACGCAGGGUUUUUUGAAUCGACUGGUUGAAAAACAUGGAAGCAUUGACCUUGAGUGGCUGAGAGAUGUUCCACCUGACCAAGCAAAGUAAGUCCACUAGUUAAUUAAGCAGCUUAAUUGAAAUACUAAUUCUCAUAACAUGCCAUGCAAUGUUAGCUUGUCUUGACUGUAUGAUUGGUGAAACGAACAUCCAAAACACUCCAUUCACGGGUAACACACACAAGCAGUUACACAUAUUUCAUGCAAGCAGAAUAAAUUCAUUAUAAAACUCUAUUCAUACAUACAGAGAAUACUUGCUCAGCUUCAGAGGACUGGGAUUGAAAAGUGUGGAGUGUGUGCGGCUUUUAACACUGCACCAUCUUGCCUUCCCGGUAAGUUGAAAAGAAAAGUGUGCAAUUACAGGAAAUGUGGAAUAAGUAAUGAUAAAUUGUUACCAUAUAACAGGUGGACACAAACGUUGGACGUAUAGCAGUACGACUGGGAUGGGUACCUCUCCAGCCACUGCCUGAGUCACUACAGUUGCAUCUCCUAGAAAUGUGAGUAUUACAUAAAUGAUAAAUGAUGUAAGACAAUAGUUCACUUGCAUAAGAGCUAAUAUCAUUGCCCUGUGUAGGUACCCUGUGUUGGAGUCCAUACAAAAAUAUCUAUGGCCUCGACUGUGCAAGCUAGAUCAAAGAACAUUGUAAAUAUCUCUUAAAUUUAGCGUACCAUAGUAACAGAAACACAUAUUUUCUUUUUUUCUUCGAAUAUAGCAAGGGUAAUUCACCUAUUGAUUAUUCUCUUAUAUGAUUUUUGCAAUAUAUUACAGGUAUGAGCUACAUUACCAGAUGAUUACAUUUGGAAAGGUAAAUCACAUUUUCUUAUACAUAAGAUACCGUCCCUACUCUAUCAAAACCUAUUGUGCUUGGGUCAUAAACUAAAAUCAAUGCAGGUCUUCUGUACAAAAAGCAAACCAAAUUGUAAUGCAUGCCCAAUGAGAGCAGAAUGUAGACACUUUGCUAGUGCAUUUGCAAGGUAUGGAUAUAAUAUAUUUAAAUUCUUUGCAUGAAAAGAUAAAUCAUUGUACAGCAUCAUUCAGAAGUCAUUACUCGUAAGUUAGAACUCUACAAGGCACUGCAUGUAACUUUGUUGGAACAAUAGGUAAGGAACUUGAGAGACAGAAUGCUAGGAAUACAAAGUUCAUGUACCCAGUAAUACAACACUAGCUAACUCAUUAUAAUGAUGACAGCACUCAUUGCAUUAUAUUCUCAUCAAAAUGCUACUUAGAUAACAGUUGAAUACUAUAUUGCAUGCAGUGCAAGGCUUGCCCUGCCUGGACCAGAGCAGAAGAGUAUAGUUACCACAGCUGGAAAUAGUGCGACUGAUCAGAAUCCAUCAGUACUCAUCAAUCAGUUGCGGUUGCCUCUCCCUGAAAACACAACGCAAGCAGAAGAAAUUCACCAAACAGAAGUGAGCAGACAACUACAAUUGAAAUCUGAAAUAAAUAUCUGCCAACCUAUCAUUGAAGAGCCGACAUCUCCAGAGCCAGAAUGCUCACAAGUAU
Molecule: long non-coding RNA, 1624 nt
Filed under: Lotus japonicus
Lineage: Eukaryota; Viridiplantae; Streptophyta; Magnoliopsida; Fabales; Fabaceae
Description: long non-coding RNA (LJAP_LNC002011)
Source: RNAcentral